GAUGAACGCUGGCGGCGUGCCUAAUACAUGCAAGUCGAGCGAACAGAUGAGGAGCUUGCUCCUCUGACGUUAGCGGCGGACGGGUGAGUAACACGUGGAUAACCUACCUAUAAGACUGGGAUAACUUCGGGAAACCGGAGCUAAUACCGGAUAAUAUAUUGAACCGCAUGGUGCAAUAGUGAAAGACGGUUUUGCUGUCACUUAUAGAUGGAUCCGCGCCGCAUUAGCUAGUUGGUAAGGUAACGGCUUACCAAGGCAACGAUGCGUAGCCGACCUGAGAGGGUGAUCGGCCACACUGGGACUGGGCCACGGUCCAGACUCCUACGGGAGGCAGCAGUAGGGAAUCUUCCGCAAUGGGCGAAAGCCUGACGGAGCAACGCCGCGUGAGUGAUGAAGGUCUUCGGAUCGUAAAACUCUGUUAUUAGGGAAGAACAAAUGUGUAAGUAACUAUGCACGUCUUGACGGUACCUAAUCAGAAAGCCACGGCUAACUACGUG
This 497-nucleotide ribosomal RNA is filed under the name uncultured bacterium. Its description in RNAcentral is "partial 16S ribosomal RNA". It matches the Rfam family "Bacterial small subunit ribosomal RNA", at positions 28 to 507 of the family's 1533-position model. The record is from RNAcentral.